Molecule: long non-coding RNA, 511 nt
Filed under: Homo sapiens (human)
Lineage: Eukaryota; Metazoa; Chordata; Mammalia; Primates; Hominidae
Description: GREB1L divergent transcript, transcript variant 2 (GREB1L-DT)
Source: RNAcentral
GCCACAAAGGCAGCGAGUAGAGCCCGGUGACAGGCCUUCGGCCUCUGGGCGCGGACAGCACGGCCGGGUCCCUUCGGUGGGCGACGCGAGGCGGCAGGGAAGGCAGGCACGGCUCCCAGAUAGGCGACUACAUCUCUGGAAGCAGCAGCUCCAUGCUGGAUGUGGUGGAAGAAUCGAGAGGGAAUGGACUGGAAGUUUGGAAUCACCGGAAAAUAACAAGGCAUAGCUAAGCUGUGACUAGCAAGAUAAACGAUUUGUUCGAGGUUUGAUUGUCCUUUCCCUCCUCCACUCGGAAGACAUAGUUGUCUUUUUUUAAAUCAUGUUUUGUACCGAAAUAUUUUUAUUUUAUAAUUGAAUCCCUGUUGUUGGGCCUUUAAAAACCCAUAGAAACAUUGUUAUGUGCCACGAAGGUGGGAAACACGGCUUUCUCAGUCAUUGCUGUACUCCCACAAUUCUGGGUCAUGCACACAAUACAGGUUUAGUAAAUAAAAUCCGUAUGUUUUUGGCCCCA